RNAcentral lists this ribosomal RNA (109 nucleotides) under Labrus bergylta (ballan wrasse). The record is from RNAcentral. Lineage: Eukaryota; Metazoa; Chordata; Actinopteri; Labriformes; Labridae.
GCUUACGGCCAUACCACCCUGAACACGCCCGAUCUCGGAAGCUAAGCAGGGUCGGGCCUGGUUAGUACUUGGAUGGGAGAACGCCUGGGAAUACCAGGUGCUGUAAGCU